Molecule: non-coding RNA, 307 nt
Organism: Pelobates cultripes (western spadefoot toad)
Lineage: Eukaryota; Metazoa; Chordata; Amphibia; Anura; Pelobatidae
Source: the annotation of a GenBank genome assembly
GCUCUGUCUUGCCCGUUUUGGAACUUAAUCAGUAGAUCGCUGGUAGUUGCGCUUGAGGGUAUUGAUGGUUUGGGCAGGCGGAACAUCCCAUCUAGUUGUAUUCCUUUGGCUUGCCUGGGGGAUAAGAGGGCCGUGAAUAGCCUUCGCAUAAAGUGAGGCAAUUCUGCUGGGAGAACUCCAUCAGAUAGGCCCCUGAUUUUUACAUGUUUCCACCGUCGUUUAUCUUCCAUAGCGGCUAGUUGGUGGGUGAGAGUAGUGUGAGCAGCUGUCAGGUCGGUGACCUGCCUCUGUAGUGCCAGGACCUGUG